This is a non-coding RNA of Chelonoidis abingdonii (Abingdon island giant tortoise), 525 nucleotides long. NCBI's taxonomy places the organism in Eukaryota, Metazoa, Chordata, Testudines, Testudinidae. The record is from the annotation of a RefSeq genome assembly.
CGCCCCUCAGGGAGGCACGUGAGUGGGUCUAUAACAUUCAGCCACCAAUCCCCCGGCUUUCCUGUUGUGUUUUCACCGCCUCUUUGUGACUCUAAGAGCAAAGUCCGCUAAACAAAGGCCAUGCGUUUUGUUCUAAACCUUUUUAUGCUCAUUCUGUGUCCAGGUGCUGCGCUAGGUGAUUCGGUCCAGUCCAAGGAACCCCAAGUGUUUGGAGUAGGAGGAGGCUCGGUGACAUUCAGCUGUUCCUACAAUACCACCGAUUCUAGGGGCGUCUAUCUCUACUGGUACCGACAGAUUCCUAACCGAGCCCCGCAGUACAUUCUGAGGAGAGGAACCAAGGUGUACGCCACUUAUAGCGAAAAUGCGGAUUUCGCCCAGGAGAGGUUUUCUUCCCAAGCUGAUGAGAGCUCCACAGUUCUGAACAUCACAACCCUGGAGUUGGCAGACACAGGGGUGUAUCUCUGCGCCCUGCAGCGGGCACAGUGACAAAGCCAAGGAGCAGAGCUGUACAAAAUCCCUCCCUUC